RNAcentral lists this ribosomal RNA (434 nucleotides) under uncultured Pseudomonas sp. RNAcentral describes it as "bacterial SSU rRNA". It matches the Rfam family "Bacterial small subunit ribosomal RNA", at positions 74 to 504 of the family's 1533-position model. Lineage: Bacteria; Pseudomonadati; Pseudomonadota; Gammaproteobacteria; Pseudomonadales; Pseudomonadaceae. The record is from RNAcentral.
GGGAGCUUGCUCCUGGAUUCAGCGGCGGACGGGUGAGUAAUGCCUAGGAAUCUGCCUGGUAGUGGGGGAUAACGUCCGGAAACGGGCGCUAAUACCGCAUACGUCCUGAGGGAGAAAGUGGGGGAUCUUCGGACCUCACGCUAUCAGAUGAGCCUAGGUCGGAUUAGCUAGUUGGUGGGGUAAAGGCCUACCAAGGCGACGAUCCGUAACUGGUCUGAGAGGAUGAUCAGUCACACUGGAACUGAGACACGGUCCAGACUCCUACGGGAGGCAGCAGUGGGGAAUAUUGGACAAUGGGCGAAAGCCUGAUCCAGCCAUGCCGCGUGUGUGAAGAAGGUCUUCGGAUUGUAAAGCACUUUAAGUUGGGAGGAAGGGCAGUAAGUUAAUACCUUGCUGUUUUGACGUUACCAACACAAUAAGCACCGGCUAACUUC